This 664-nucleotide long non-coding RNA is filed under the name Phoenix dactylifera (date palm). RNAcentral describes it as "long non-coding RNA (PDAC_LNC018905)". The record is from RNAcentral. Lineage: Eukaryota; Viridiplantae; Streptophyta; Magnoliopsida; Arecales; Arecaceae.
UAUAAUAUAUAAUAUAUUCUAUAAUAUUAUCAUCUUCCAUAAUAGGGUUGACCCACUCAUGAUGUGGAAAAUUAUUCCAUUCCACAUGCUUCCAUAUUCAUAUUCAAGAAAGACAAUGCACAUUUUAUAAGAUUUUAUAAUAUUAUGCUAUAUAAUAAUAUAGAUUGGAAGGGAAAAAUUGUUCAAUUUCAUAAAUUCACAUUUUUUCUCCAAUUAUCCUCAAAUAACAUCCAAACAGCCUUUGUUAUGCCCGAUCAACAUCCAAACAGAAAAACAAAAAUGGACAAUCCUUGGGACAGGAACAUUUUAUCCCAAAAAGAACAUGAGGUUUAUCCUAGCUAAAUAUGGUAAAAUCUAGCCCUUUUGGCUUAACUUUUCCUUAUCCUCGAAAAGCCCAUCCCUGUUCCAAACUAAGCCUUAGUGUAGGGUGCAAUUUAAUUGAUGGUGUCUAGAUGAAUUGAUUAAUUGACUAUUGUAUUAAUGGCAUGGUUUUUCGUCAAACUCUUUUCAUAAACCGCAUUUUGGGGACUUUUAGUCCAUCCUUUGUGAUUAGGACCUUCAUUGUUAUCGAAGAUUGAAAUUUGAAGCUUCACAAGGAGUAUCCAAUUUGAUAAUUGUUAUCAAGCUUCCUGUGGAUUUGACUGAUAAAGAUUGUUCUUCUUUU